This 643-nucleotide ribosomal RNA is filed under the name uncultured Actinomycetes bacterium. RNAcentral describes it as "bacterial SSU rRNA". It matches the Rfam family "Bacterial small subunit ribosomal RNA", at positions 232 to 885 of the family's 1533-position model. Lineage: Bacteria; Bacillati; Actinomycetota; Actinomycetes. The record is from RNAcentral.
CGCGGCCUAUCAGCUUGUUGGUGAGGCAAUGUCUCACCAAGGCGACGACGGGUAGCCGGCCUGAGAGGGCGACCGGCCACACUGGGACUGAGACACGGCCCAGACUCCUACGGGAGGCAGCAGUGGGGAAUAUUGCACAAUGGGCGAAAGCCUGAUGCAGCGACGCCGCGUGAGGGAUGACGGCCUUCGGGUUGUAAACCUCUUUCAGCUCCGAAGAAGCGAGAGUGACGGUAGGAGCAGAAGAAGCACCGGCUAACUACGUGCCAGCAGCCGCGGUAAUACGUAGGGUGCAAGCGUUGUCCGGAAUUAUUGGGCGUAAAGAGCUCGUAGGCGGUCUGUCGCGUCUGGUGUGAAAUCCCAUGGCUCAACUGUGGGCUUGCAUCGGGUACGGGCAGACUAGAGUGCUGUAGGGGAGACUGGAAUUCCUGGUGUAGCGGUGGAAUGCGCAGAUAUCAGGAGGAACACCGAUGGCGAAGGCAGGUCUCUGGGCAGUUACUGACGCUGAGGAGCGAAAGCAUGGGGAGCGAACAGGAUUAGAUACCCUGGUAGUCCAUGCCGUAAACGUUGGGCACUAGGUGUGGGGCCAGUUCCACUGGUUCUGUGCCGCAGCUAACGCAUUAAGUGCCCCGCCUGGGGAGUACGG